This is a long non-coding RNA of Ziziphus jujuba (common jujube), 984 nucleotides long. RefSeq lists it as uncharacterized. The record is from RefSeq and is a predicted model, not a curated record. The transcript is spliced from 4 exons. NCBI's taxonomy places the organism in Eukaryota, Viridiplantae, Streptophyta, Magnoliopsida, Rosales, Rhamnaceae.
CCAUUCCCUUUUCCUUUCGAAACAGAACUAGGGCAUAAAAACAAAGCUUUCUCUUUCCCUUUAGAAACACACCAGCAGCGUCAUUUUCACUUCAAGCAAAAAACACACAGCAGCGCCAUUUUCCCUUUCCCUUUAGAAGCACACCAGCAGUGCCAUUUUCCCUUUCCCUUUAGAAGCACACCAGCAGCGUCAUUCCCUUUAGAAGCACACCAGCAGUGCCAUUUUCCCUUUCCCUUUAGAAGCACACCAGCAGCACCAUUCUACCCAUUCGCCGGUGUCAUAGAAGAACCAGUUUGUUGAGACGAGUAUUAGGUUUGUCCGGGUCUUAUUUUGGGGCCGAUUCUACAGUCCUAUGCAAAUGCAAGCACUUUGGUUCUGCUUAAACAUUUCAAAGGAGGAAGUGACUGCGUAGAAAACACAAAGUGGAUGAUGGUAGACGUACGGGAUGUAGCAGAAGCACUGCUUCUGGGAUAUGAAAAGGCUGAGGCUCAAGGAAGAUAUAUAUGCACGGCUCAUGAUAUCAACACACAUGAUCUAGUGGAUAAGCUGAGGAGUAUAUACCCUCAUAAUGACUAUCCCAACAAGUUUGUUGAUGUGGAGGAAGAAAUAAAUCUUAGUUCCAGAAAGUUGCAGAGGUUGGGUUGGAGGUACAGGUCAUUGGAUGAAACUCUUAUUGAUUCUCUGAAAAUCUAUCAGCAUGCUGGACUUUUGGAUUAAGAUAAAGGGGAGGACUGCUUUAGCAUUAUUAUUAAACUGUUUACUUUUCCAUUUUUAAAUGACUGGUAAUAGUCAAGGACAUCUAGAACUAGUACUGUACUGCUGUGUUGUUGAUAUGUUUUUGUUUGGUCAGUGGAUCCUAUAUGUAAUAGUUAUACAUAACGAGCUAGUUGCUUUUAAUUAUAAAAUAUAUCAAUAUAAGUAAUUGUAACGCGGGUUGUUUGAUUAAUUCCUGGAAUCUAUCCUACAGUUAGAGGAAUUACGAGA